GGAGGCUUUGAAGCACGUACGCCAGUAUGUGUGGAGCCGUCCUUGAAAUACCACCCUUGUAGUGUUGAUGUUCUAACGUCGACCCCUUAUCGGGGUUGCGGACAGUGCCUGGUGGGUAGUUUGACUGGGGCGGUCUCCUCCCAAAGAGUAACGGAGGAGCACGAAGGUGGGCUAAUCACGGUUGGACAUCGUGAGGUUAGUGCAAUGGCAUAAGCCCGCUUGACUGCGAGAAUGACAAUUCGAGCAGGUGCGAAAGCAGGUCAUAGUGAUCCGGUGGUUCUGAAUGGAAGGGCCAUCGCUCAACGGAUAAAAGGUACUCCGGGGAUAACAGGCUGAUAC
This 339-nucleotide ribosomal RNA is filed under the name Vibrio parahaemolyticus. RNAcentral's name for it is "partial 23S ribosomal RNA". It matches the Rfam family "Bacterial large subunit ribosomal RNA", at positions 2150 to 2488 of the family's 2925-position model. The record is from RNAcentral. Lineage: Bacteria; Pseudomonadati; Pseudomonadota; Gammaproteobacteria; Vibrionales; Vibrionaceae.